RNAcentral lists this ribosomal RNA (256 nucleotides) under uncultured bacterium. RNAcentral's name for it is "partial 16S ribosomal RNA". It matches the Rfam family "Bacterial small subunit ribosomal RNA", at positions 524 to 776 of the family's 1533-position model. The record is from RNAcentral.
UACGAAGGGGGCGAGCGUUGUCCGGAAUUCAUUGGGCGUAAAGAGCGCGUAGGCGGCCCUGUAAGUCCGCUGUGAAAGUCAGAGGCUCAACCUCUGAAAUGCCGGUGGAUACUGCAGGGCUAGAGUCCGGAAGAGGCGAGUGGAAUUCCUGGUGUAGCGGUGAAAUGCGCAGAUAUCAGGAGGAACACCGGUGGCGAAGGCGGGUCUCUGGGCAACAACUGACGCUGAGAAGCGGAAAGCGUGGGGAGCGAACAGG